This is a long non-coding RNA of Mytilus trossulus (common blue mussel), 1714 nucleotides long. RefSeq lists it as uncharacterized. Lineage: Eukaryota; Metazoa; Mollusca; Bivalvia; Mytilida; Mytilidae. The transcript is spliced from 2 exons. The record is from RefSeq and is a predicted model, not a curated record.
AGUUACAAUUCGAACAGAACAUUGACUAUAACAGUGCUUAUUUGUUUUCAAGGGGGGGUUUGGACAGGGGGGUUCGUCCAAACCCCUUAAACCCCCCUGGCUACGGGUAUGAAGCAUUAACAUGAGUGUUAUACAUUGCUCCACCCCUCAGUGAUGAUUUUUAAAAACACCGAAAUGAAUUCAGUUAAUGUUAAAUAAAAUAUACCUAAAUCAAAAACUUUUAUUGUGAGGAAGAUCCUUAUAAUUCUUUUCAUUUACCUGUGAUGGUUUAUUCCAUGUGAGCUGAUUUCAUGAUUGAACACUAAUAACUUUUGUGUAUUUGCAUGGUUGAAUUGUAAGACCACCAGUACAGUGAGGUUGAAGUCCCUAUAUUGUAUAUUGUCUUUGUCACUUGCUGUAUCAAUGUUCCAACAAUUCUACCUCAUUCUUUUUCAAUGUGGGCAUACCAUACUGUGUACCACAACAACAACAGAAUAUAAUAUUCUCUUUUGUACAUGCCAUUUCAUAAAAAAUAUAAUUGAGGUUUCUGUUUUACUCCAUGCUUGUCAUUGAACUUAUAUCAAAUGUUUUAAAUAAAGAAACACCUUUUAAAUUUCCUAACACUCUUUUUUAAAUACUAUAAAUGACCCUCUAAAACUUGCAAUGGUAACCAGAUAGUCACUAAGUUAAAAAGACAUGCUUUUAAUUUCAGAAUAUUUAUGGGAAACAUGACCAACUGGCAAAAUCAAAAACUUUUCACAAUGAUUUAAAUCUUUUCAAUUUUUCAAAUAUGAAAGUAUUUUCAAAAGAAAAAAUGUGAGUUAUUUAGGUCAAAUAUCAAAAUGAAAACAUUGGCCAUGGUAAAAUAUUUUUAGAAAGGCUGCUCAGUGACUGCAAAUGGUCACUUCUUUGGUCUUAAAUGGAUACCGGUAGUCUCAUUACCAAUCCUAACACAUUUACUGAUUCAUAUGUUUUUCAUGUCCUUAUGUUUUAUUGUUUUAUUGGGUUGCCUCCCUUCAUUCAUGUAACAUAAGCCAUUGCUAUCAGUUUGAAAGUAAAACCAUAGUACAUCAAUUUCUUUAUUUUUUGCUUUGAAAUUCUACAUGCAUUUAUUUUAUUUAAUGUAGUAAAAGAUUUACAAUUUUAGAUUAAACACAAAAUUAAAACCCAAGCACACCAACUUAUAAAGAGAAUUUAUUCAUGGCUUUCUUGAUUUAUCUUUUAUUUCUAAACAUUUGGUUAAGCAUUUAUCAUAACAUAUCAUUUCACAGUAUAGGUUCAUGUUUUUGGUAUAAAACAACACUUUUCAGCUGAAAGUUUGUGAAUACCUUAAUUUUAAGUUUUUUUCUGUGAUUUAAUUAUUAAUGUUGUGUUUAAAAGUUAUUUUAUUAACAUAAUAUUUUUAAAUUGCUUAACUGAAAGUGUAUAAGAAAAUUCUUGCCCCUAAAUGCAUAUAUUUAGUAACAUAUCUUUUCAACAAUAUAAGGUACAAUAUUUAAAUUUUCAUAUUAAUUUCCAGUAAAGAAAUAUAACAUUUUGAGGCAUGAUUUUAAAAACAAAUUGAAUAAUUACCUAAUAGUGUGUAGGACAAGGGUAAACAUUAGCAUCUUAUUUGUUUUAUGUUUUAUAAAUGAUUUUGCUAUGAUUAAAGGAAUGAAUUUAUAAUGUUAUAUGAUAAAUGUAUUUGAAUGAAAAAGUUAUAGAAGAUACAAAAUAAGUAAAAAAUUCUCAACAA